Molecule: ribosomal RNA, 520 nt
Filed under: uncultured Diversispora
Lineage: Eukaryota; Fungi; Glomeromycota; Glomeromycetes; Diversisporales; Diversisporaceae
Description: SSU rRNA
Rfam family: Eukaryotic small subunit ribosomal RNA
Source: RNAcentral
AGCAGCCGCGGUAAUUCCAGCUCCAAUAGCGUAUAUUAAAGUUGUUGCAGUUAAAAGCUCGUAGUUGAACUUCGGGGUUUACUCAUUGGUCAGGCUUAAUUGUCUGUACUGGUGAGAUGAAUCUCUACCUUCUGAGGAACUUUCAUGCCAUUUAUUUGGUGUGGUUGGAAAUCAGGACUGUUACUUUGAAAAAUUAGAGUGUUUAAAGCAGGCUAACGUCUGAAUACAUUAGCAUGGAAUAAUGAAAUAGGACGGAUUGAUUCUAUUUCGUUGGUUUCUAGGGUCACCGUAAUGAUUAAUAGGGAUAGUUGGGGGCAUUAGUAUUCAAUUGUCAGAGGUGAAAUUCUUGGAUUUAUUGAAGACUAACUACUGCGAAAGCAUUUGCCAAGGGUGUUUUCAUUAAUCAAGAACGAAAGUUAGGGGAUCGAAGACGAUCAGAUACCGUCGUAGUCUUAACCAUAAACUAUGCCGACUAGGGAUCGGACGAAGUUAAUUAAUAAUGACGCGUUCGGCACCUUAC